AAUAAGUAGUUUUGUACUAUUCACGUUCAACGUUUAACCGUUCAUCUUAUUUGAAAUUUUUUUAUGAUUAGUAUUUUUAUUACUAUUAGAUGAUAAAACAUGAAUAGUACUUUAUGUGUGACUAAAUAUUUUCACAAAUUUUUUAAAUAAGACGGAUGGUCAAACGUUGGGCACGGAUAUCCACGGCUGCACUUAUU
This 197-nucleotide microRNA precursor is filed under the name Oryza glumipatula. RNAcentral describes it as "MIR812 microRNA precursor family". It matches the Rfam family "MIR812 microRNA precursor family". Lineage: Eukaryota; Viridiplantae; Streptophyta; Magnoliopsida; Poales; Poaceae. The record is from Rfam by way of RNAcentral.